UGUUUGUCAAAGUAUUUGGCUCUGGUGACAUCAUCUUUGUUGAAACGCCGGACAGCAUGAUGAGUCCCAGAUGUUAAUGCACACUGAGAGUCGAGAAAGAAUAAAAUCCAAAGAUCAACACUAACAGCUCUGGAGGAGUGCACUCACUUUGCACUCUGGGGUUGAUGGAUGAAUACGUGAUUUUUUCCAAGGCAUCCUAAAGCUGUUAAACCUUACAGGCCAUUUAAAAGACGGGUAAGAACAAACAACGUGAUUAAAGGGAGCUGCCAAAAGCUGUACAAGUGUCAGCUGCCACCACUGCUCGUUACAUGGAUGAAGCUGUUGACUUUUAAUUUAUAGACAUUUGAGAAGGUGUACGUGAAGACUUGAAAAGAAGGCUUUCUUUUGCUAAAAGAAAAAAGAGAACUGUUAUUAAGAACCUCUGCUGAAAUACACUGAUGACGAUGUGUUGAAUUGAUGUUGAUGAAGACUAUAUUUUGGAAACUUCAGUUAGAGCCAAAGAGUGUUUCCAGUGCAAAGCAGAGGAUGUAAGAUUAAAAUAGAAAUUACUUCUGCUGGUCUGUGCUAUUUGCCAAUGAGAUCUUUCUGGUUGUGUCAGAAGAUGUUCAGUCUGUCGUUCAGAUCCUCAAGCAGUGAAAUGGAGGAGAUAGUAUUUGACCAUCUGGCACUGUCUUCUUGGGCUUUACUGACUGCAAAAACAGAAGAUGUUCUGCUGAGUGAUGGCUGGUUUUUGUCCUGUCAUGUCCUGAGUUUCCACAUCCCCCUGCUCGAAGAAAUGCCAGUUCUUCCAACCACUUCUUUUUUCCUGGAUACCUGUCAACUGUUCACAUUCAGAGACCUUGGAAGGGUAACCAACUUUGAAGAUUUUGUAGACGGCUUUUUGCCCGAAUGGGAAACUGCUGAGUUUCAUCUCAUCCCUGUAGUGGUUAAUUCCAGGACACUGGGAAAGACCCCGAGCUCUAAACGUUGGAUUAAGAUCUUCACUUCAGCAGCUGAGACAAUCACACUCAGGAAACUGGGAAAAAGAGUCCUGAGGGCAGAAAGAAAGGAGAUCUACCUGGUGGUGGCAGAACAAAAAGAUUACACAACCUUGCAAGAAGAAUGUUAUUUAAGAGAAUCCUCAAAGGCCGCUCUAAGGAUUGCUGCUGAGAAUAAAGCACCUGAGAUGGAUAAUGUUCUUACAACAAAAGAGUUUAAAAUAAAAGGUUCAGUCUUGCAAGAUGUGAAUAUAAGAAGCUAUCUUCAACUGAAAAGUCUAUAGAAGAGAUUUUGGAACAAACAGAAGAUCAACAGGAUCUAAUUGUGAGGAGCGGACGAUACUUCUCCAGAUGGAACUGAAAUGUGAAAUUACAGAAUUUUAACUUCGGUACCAGGUGCAAAGAGUGAGUAAUGUGGUGAUCAGAAGGAAGGCUGACUGUCUGAAAAGAAGCUGGACCCAGUAAAACCGGUUGAGAAGGGACACAAUUGCUGUCUAUAAAUUUAUGAUGAGGUGACUACUUCAUCAACUUGGCUUUUCACUGGCAUAGAAGAACCAGAAAAUGAACCUGGCACUAGAAGCCUGUGUUUCUUCUGCAGCUGGGAAAGCGGUGGGCCUCUCCAGAGCAAGAUUCACCAAAGCAUAUACAAGACUCUCGAUGCUGGAUGUGAAGGCAGAGAAACAAUUUACUGUUUUAAAACAAAGAGCCUGUUCCUCAGGAGACAUAGACUGAUUCAUGUGAAGGCACACCCCAGUUUCCUUGACUGCAAUGCAAUCCAAAUGCAGGCUUCAAGACCCAAUGGUCAGAGUAUUGGGUCAAGCUGAGAACUUGUGGGUUGUUGUCCUGGGCUCAGCUGCUCAUCUUGCCUCAACCUCUUCAGCAAAAAAUGUUUCAGAUUGCUUUUCUGCUCCUGCUUCUGAAGAGAAGUGAUGAGGAGCUGUCCUAUGAAAUGAUAGGGAAGCACUUGCAGAGGAGCACAGAGAUUAGGGAUACCCCUUGGAGGAAGGCAUUCAUGCUCCAUGCCAACCUGUGGGCUCCCAUCCACCUCCCACUGCCCACCGCAGCUCCUCUUUCCUGCCACGGGACACCACCAACCCUGGCUGUCCUUGGCCCCAGCACUUCCCAAACUCAGCAGGACUCAGUUCACUGGCCUGAAACAGUGGAAUAAAUCUCACAGUUUUUCCCUCAAGAGGUAUAAUCCUUCAGUUUUCAUGACGGCAGUUUUCCUGUUUAUUUCAACAGAAGUGGUAUCUCAAGAUGAAUGGCAGGAUAAUACCCAUUUGAAAUAUAAGUGGACAGCAGCAUCAGAUCAAAUGGAUGGUGAAAAGAGACUGAAUGGAAAAUGAUGACAGGGCAAAAAUGUCCCUUCCUACCAACAUCUUCAAUGUUUUCAUUUCCAAGCAUUUGUUAAGCAAGGAAGAGGAUCUCUCUCUAUUUAAUGUAAUUUAGUGAUAAUUCUUUGGAAAAGAGAAAAUAUCCUUUCACAGCUGUAUCAACAAUAUCUUCUCUCUUAAAAGAAAACAGCAGCUGACUUGACAUGUCAAGCAUCACGUAUUUGGCCACGGAAGGCAAGCAUGAGCCAGACUGGUCAAUAGCACUGACUUGGAACAAUGCCACUGAAAAGUUGGUCUGUAAACUGAUGCUACCUUAUUUCUUGGAUUGUAGAAGGGCUUGCUGAGAUUUAGCAGCAAUGCAGAACUACCACAUUCCCGGUAGAUAUUUCUUUUCUUGUUACAUGAGACCCAUGCAUGAAGUGAAAAAGAACAAAUGAACAUCAGGUUUACAUCACCACUGAUAUGUGAAUGAUUGAUCACCCAUUAAAUCACAUACAGAGCUGGUAACAGCACACGGGGUAGCGUUAAAGUAAAAUGUUUGAUAUUCUUUACUCUAAUUAAACAUGGAAAUAAUACGAUGCAGUCUGUAUUGUAAAUGUUAUUGCAGAUUAUAGACCUAAAGGAGAGGUGUUAUGCCACCUUUAUAGCCUCCAGUUCCUGGAGACUGUGACUUAGAGCUGCCUCAGGGCUGCCCUAAAUUACACCAGUUGGUAAUGACUCCCAGAGGGCCGCUAUGCAUCCAGUGGUUGCUGGAGUGUAAAGUACUUUGGCUAUGCCAACAGCCCAUCAUUUCACAAUGGAGGCUGAGAGCAGCUGGCAUAGUGCUUGGAGAAAAUCCCCAAGUAGUGGUUUAAGACAUUUUUCGAACUCUUUUUUUUUUGUCAUGAGAGUGAUAUAAAAUAAAG
RNAcentral lists this long non-coding RNA (3216 nucleotides) under Gallus gallus (chicken). RNAcentral's name for it is "lncRNA (ENSGALG00010018851.1)". Lineage: Eukaryota; Metazoa; Chordata; Aves; Galliformes; Phasianidae. The record is from RNAcentral.